AGCAAGCCUUUUGGAUACAGAUGGGAUCAGAACAAACUUCACCCUGGUCCUGUUUCAGUUGCCAGCACUAUUGACGCCCCUACUUUUACUGCCUUAAUGUAGCCGGAUCAAGCCUGAGACAUCGCAAGCCAAAGACAGGGCCCUGGAGGAGGUGAGUGGCCCGAGGCCUCAGGCAGCGGCUCUCAGUGCUGGCAGGCGGCCCACAGACCACAGGGGAACUUGAGAGUAUCGCCUGAGCCAGCCCCACGGCUCCCACCUGCACUCCCCAGGUCUCAUUGGUGAGAGAGUGGCCUGGCGUGGGCAUUUGUCAGACGCCUCUCGUGGGCACUCAGAGGUCCUCAGCCCAGCAGCCAAAUCCUGUGGAGCCUGCCCUUGACCUCCUGCCCUGGGGGCCUGGAGUGUUCUGAAGAUGACACAUCAGAGUUGGCUCAGCCUGAAGUCUGCAUGCCUGUCGGGAGAGUUGGCAGGUGCCCGUGCCCAGAAAUCAAAUCUCUAGGACAAGGAAAUGUUGCUGUUUCUCGUUCUAAAGGAAUGGAAUGUCUCUACACCCCUCCCACCCAUGGAUAGCAUGGUCCCAUCUCCACGCGUGGCCUGGCAGUGCCCUGGGAGGUCGGCUUCUAGCUCUGGAAUGCUCUGUGCACGCUCUCUACGCCACGCCGUCUAGACGGCCUUGACCUUGAGGUGUGUCGGGCACUGCGCUCUUCCGAUCCACACUUGUGCAGACCCAUUCCCGACACUCUGUAGCAUCGUCAGGCACAGACUCUGAGAACAGGAAAGGAAUCUUCGAGCUCGUCAAGGCUGAAUAUAACAGUCCCCUAAGCACCCCAGACUCCUCCCUGGAACCUGUGGUUUGGGUACCUUAUACGGCAAAAGGGGUUUUACAGGCGUGAUUAAGUUGUGGAUUUUCAGGUGGGAAGACUCUCCUGGAUUAUUCGGGGGGGCCCCACAUAGAGUCACAAGAGUCCUCCUAGGACAAGAAGGUCAAAGAAAAAAGGCCACGUGCUGAUGGAAGCCCGGGGGAAGAAAGGGCAAUGUGCUGGGGGCCGCAGUCAAAGAAUUGAGGACAAACUCUAGGCCAUGGAAAAGGUAAGAGAAGGCUUGUCCCCUGGAGCCUUCAGAAGGACCUCAGCACCGCCAACACCUUGACUGUAGCCCCUUGAGACCAUGUCAGACCUCUGACCCCCAGAACUGUAAGAGGAGCAGGUGGUAUUGUUUUAAGCUAUUGUUGGUGGUAAUUUGUUACAGCAGCAAAAGGAAACUAAUACAGAACUCAUUGACCUCAGCCCUCUCUUUUUACAGCUGAGGAGACUGAAGCCCAUUUGUGGUAGAUACUUUCCUUUUUAGUUUGCUAAUUUGUAAGUCGUUUAUGAGAAGGGAAUGAUUUUUCUCCUGCCUCUGUGAAUAAGACCAAGUUUUUUCCUGUAAUUGUCCUGUUGACGAGAGCAGGCCUUAGAAUUUUCAGUUUUAUGGGGUCUGGUUGCUGUAUUGAUUCUAUAGGUUCGAUGGCCAUAUUUUCUUGAAUCAAAAUGAAAGAACUCUGAUCUGAUACGUAUGAGUGGGCUUAUGGGGAUAAUGAGACAGAGGCUAUUCCGUAAAACCAGGGACAAAUAGCCCGCGCUGUAAUACAUGGAGUAGUGGCCAACCCAUGCCUUCCUGGCCGCCAGCUCCCGUCUCACCUCCCACACCCUCUGCCUCCACAGCACAAGGAAGGAAAGGGGGUGGAAAUCUUGACACAGGGUUUUCAGAGGAUGCUGCUGCUGAUUUCUGAACCAGGACAGACUUUGAAAAGUCCUCCUGAGUCUAAAAAACGAAGACUCAUUGCUUCAACCCUUGCAAUAGACAUCCUGGGCGACCUUCACCUCAAACCUCAGAGGAUUUCGAGAUACUACGGAACAUUCUGUGCUUUGUUUAUUUCCCAUCAGUUGGUGGAGAAAUUGAACCAAUGCACUGGUGACAGUGGGAACAGGUCAGUGUAGGCCCUGGAGGGGAAGGAGGGUGCAGAAAAUGUAGCCCUGGAGAUAUUGCAGGAUCGGUUCCAGGCCACCACAAUAAUGCGAAUAUCGCAAUAAAGUGAGUCACAUGGAGUUUUUGGUUUCCCCAUGUAUAUAAAAGUAAUGUUUACACUCUACUGUAAC
Long non-coding RNA from Globicephala melas (long-finned pilot whale), 2135 nucleotides. RefSeq lists it as uncharacterized. The record is from RefSeq and is a predicted model, not a curated record. NCBI's taxonomy places the organism in Eukaryota, Metazoa, Chordata, Mammalia, Artiodactyla, Delphinidae.